This 1072-nucleotide ribosomal RNA is filed under the name uncultured fungus. Its description in RNAcentral is "eukaryotic LSU rRNA". The stretch from base 484 to 1072 matches the Rfam family "Eukaryotic large subunit ribosomal RNA", at positions 1 to 598 of the family's 3401-position model. Lineage: Eukaryota; Fungi. The record is from RNAcentral.
AUCAUUACCGAGUGAAAACUCCCAACCCUCUGUGAACCUACCACUAUUUUCUUCGGCGGAACGUCCCGGCGCAGGCCUCGCGGUCUGCCCGGAACCAGGCGCCCGCCGGGGGCCCUAACUCUGUAUUCUAAAGCAUUUCUGAGUCCCUAUAAAUAAAUUAAAACUUUCAACAACGGAUCUCUUGGCUCUGGCAUCGAUGAAGAACGCAGCGAAAUGCGAUAAGUAAUGCGAAUUGCAGAAUUCAGCGAAUCAUCGAAUCUUUGAACGCACAUUGCGCCCGCCAGAAUUCUGGCGGGCAUGCCUGUUCGAGCGUCAUUACGCCCCUCGAGCCCCGCGCUCGGUGUUGGGGAUCGGCGGGUGGCCACUGGGCCCGCGCCGUCCCUCAAAUCCAUCGGCGGUCCCUCCAAGUAACCACGUGCAGUACAACAGCUCGCGUAGGGUGUGCGGAGGGGCCGGUGCCGUAAAACAACCAACUUUUUUAGUUGACCUCGAAUCAGGUAGGACUACCCGCUGAACUUAAGCAUAUCAAUAAGCGGAGGAAAAGAAACCAACAGGGAUUGCCCCAGUAACGGCGAGUGAAGCGGCAACAGCUCAAAUUUGAAAUCUGGCCCCCAGGGCCCGAGUUGUAAUUUGCAGAGGAUGCUUUUGGCGAGGUGCCGUCCGAGUUCCCUGGAAUGGGACGCCGUAGAGGGUGAGAGCCCCGUAUGGUCGGACACCGAGCCUCUGUAAAGCUCCUUCGACGAGUCGAGUAGUUUGGGAAUGCUGCUCUAAAUGGGAGGUAUAUGUCUUCUAAAGCUAAAUACCGGCCAGAGACCGAUAGCGCACAAGUAGAGUGAUCGAAAGAUGAAAAGCACUUUGAAAAGAGAGUUAAACAGUACGUGAAAUUGUUGAAAGGGAAGCGCUCGUGACCAGACUUGGGCCCGGCGAAUCACCCGGCGGUUCUCGCCGGGGCACUUUGUCGGGCCUGGGCCAGCAUCGGUUCGCGCCGGGGGAUAAAAGCGGCGGGAAUGUGGCUCCCCUCGGGGAGUGUUAUAGCCCGCCGCGGAAUACCCUGGGGCGGACCGAGGACCGC